Molecule: unclassified non-coding RNA, 258 nt
Filed under: air metagenome
Description: partial contains small subunit ribosomal RNA, internal transcribed spacer 1, and 5.8S ribosomal RNA
Rfam family: Eukaryotic small subunit ribosomal RNA (bases 1-46)
Source: RNAcentral
AAGUCGUAACAAGGUUUCCGUAGGUGAACCUGCGGAAGGAUCAUUAAACAUAUUACGGGGGGCCGGACCCAGGGUGCAUGCUAACCCAUGUGCCUUGACCUGCUCUGUCUGAAUAUUCCACCCCUGUUUAUUUGCGUACUAUUUGUUUCCUCGGUGGGCUUGCCUGCCGCUAGGACUUAUUAAAACCCCUUGUAAUUGCAGUCAGCGUCAGAAAAAACUUAAAUUUUACAACUUUCAACAACGGAUCUCUUGGUUCUG